This is a long non-coding RNA of Ruditapes philippinarum (Manila clam), 650 nucleotides long. RefSeq lists it as uncharacterized. The transcript is spliced from 3 exons. The record is from RefSeq and is a predicted model, not a curated record. Lineage: Eukaryota; Metazoa; Mollusca; Bivalvia; Venerida; Veneridae.
ACAAAUAAGCCAUAAUAUUACGGUUUUUCAAUUCUAUAAAUAAUUCAGAUUAAGUUUGUGGGGUAUGUCGCUAGUUUCCCAAAUAAUGAAGUCUUUAUUAUAAAAAGGCAAGACUAGGAAUACAUAUCAUACAUUUGUAUGUUGUAUGCUAACAAGUAAAGCAAGUAUUCUUCGAUAAAGUGUGAACUCAGAAAAUCUUCAAUAUAAAGUGAAAAAAUGUGCAACACUAACUCGAACAAUUCAGGUGGUGCAGGUGGUCAGGGAGGCCAAGCUGAAGGUGCUGGGGGCGGUGGGGGAGGAAGUGGAGCCGGAAGUAGUGCUUCAGGUGGGACGGGAGGUAAUGGUGCCAGUAUUUGUGGAGGUGGACGAAAGAUAAUUACUCCGCAAGCAAUUUUCCUGUGGCGCUGAUAAUUCUUUAUAUGAAACUGCUCUGUGAACUUUCUUAAUAUUGUGAGAACAAAAUAACUUAAAUAUUACAAUCACAAGACAAUUUCUUACAUGUUUAAAACUUACAAUUGCAUUAUAUAAAAGUUUCCUCCUAAAUAAAACGUACCAAAUAUUAAAUUAAGUUUAUAUGUUAUUUACUGUAUAAUACAUGUAUAUGACAAAAUAUAAUUAAAUUUUCUUAAUAAAACAAAAACCUAACAAUG